UUACCCAUAUAACAAACCCUCACAUGUACCCCUGAAACUAAAAUAAAAGUUUUAAAAAAUGCAGGUUAUCAAUAUCACCUCUCCUCCACCUCACCCCAAUUCUCACUUCUAACAUGGUAGUUUGCACUGAGGUCCAGGAAUCUGCAUUUGAAGAAGUAACUUGGCAACAUUUUCUGAAACACUGACCCAGAUGAGCUCUGUCUUCAGUCAUGUAGUUGUGCUGUAAGAAAAAUAGUAUCCAGAGAAAUAGUUUCUAUGAAUUCCCAAUCCUCAGCUUUCAGUAUUUCAUAGUCCAUAUAUUUUGGGAUCCCUUUUAUUCUUCUGUCUUCUCACUCAUGGUAAAAGGAGAAUAGAAAAGUAAUACAUGUCCAGAUAUGUUAUAAAAGAGGAUUAAUAUUAUCAAGAGGGGAGUUUAUUUGUCCUCCUCUAAACAUUCUACCCUAGAGAGUUAGAAACACACUGGGGAGUAGAUUCCUUCAAAAGACCAAAAGAUCAGUUAUUUAUGCAUUCGUUUGCACCAUUUCAGGAUACAAAGUUAUCAGAAGAGACAACUUCUCUGGUCUCAAGCCAGCUGGGACACCACCAGGAUGCGACUGGAAUUCUUUAAGGAGUCUUUGAGGACACUCCAUCUAUCCUGGGCAAAUUUCUUGAGCCUUGCAGACUGGCUUACAAGGUGUCACAGGGUUCUGUUGUCCCUUGCUGUCUAUCUGUCAUAGUGGAUGAGGCUACCUGCCUGUCUGACCUUUGAGGAAGGGGAAUUUCUGAAACCUUAAGGCUUCCUUGUAUUGUUCAAUUCAGUGAGAAAGAAAUCACUAAUGAUAGCAGGAUUUGCUCUGUUGCCCAGGCUGGAGUGCAGUAGCACAGAGUACAUUGCUGUCUAUC
Molecule: non-coding RNA, 882 nt
Organism: Chlorocebus sabaeus (green monkey)
Lineage: Eukaryota; Metazoa; Chordata; Mammalia; Primates; Cercopithecidae
Source: RefSeq, a predicted model, not a curated record